AGCUCCAAUAGCGUAUAUUAAAGUUGUUGCAGUUAAAAAGCUCGUAGUUGGAUUUCUGGCGUGAGUCCGGGUCGGCCUUAACGGGUUGCACUGUUGUGACGUCUCGCCGUUUCGAGGGGAAUGGGCUCGCUAUUAGGUUAGUGUGCUCGGGAACCUCGUCGUUUACUGUGAAAAAAUUAGAGUGUUCAAAGCAGGCCUUUGCUGUGAAUACAUUAGCAUGGAAUAAUAAGAUAGGACUGUAGUGCUAUUUUGUUGGUUUGCGUACUAUGGUAAUGAUUAAUAGGGAUAGUUGGGGGUAUUCAUAUUCAAUUGUCAGAGGUGAAAUUCUUGGAUUUAUGGAAGAUGAACUACUGCGAAAGCAUUUACCAAGGAUGUUU
RNAcentral lists this ribosomal RNA (377 nucleotides) under uncultured eukaryote. RNAcentral describes it as "SSU rRNA". It matches the Rfam family "Eukaryotic small subunit ribosomal RNA", at positions 587 to 969 of the family's 1831-position model. The record is from RNAcentral.